CACGUAGGGGGCGAGCGUUGUCCGGAUUCAUUGGGCGUAAAGGGCGCGCAGGCGGCCCGGUAAGUCGGAUGUGAAAACUCGGGGCUCAACCCCGAGCGUGCACCCGAUACUGCCGGGCUUGAGGCAGGUAGGGGAGAUCGGAAUUCCUGGUGUAGCGGUGAAAUGCGCAGAUAUCAGGAGGAACACCGGUGGCGAAGGCGGAUCUCUGGGCCUGUCCUGACGCUGAGGCGCGAAAGCUAGGGGAGCGAACAGG
This 253-nucleotide ribosomal RNA is filed under the name uncultured bacterium. RNAcentral describes it as "partial 16S ribosomal RNA". It matches the Rfam family "Bacterial small subunit ribosomal RNA", at positions 524 to 776 of the family's 1533-position model. The record is from RNAcentral.